UACCAGUUGUUGUUUUUUUCUGCACCCUUUAUGUUUGGUUCUGUAUUUGAAAAGUUCCUUAUGACAACUAAAAUCUUUACUGCCACUGACGCAGUUUGAAACAUGCACUCACGUUUGUUUCAAUGGGGUUUUUUUUUCUCUAUAAAGACAAACCAAAAAAGAACAAUGACAGCACUCAAUGCUAAAUAUUUUCUCGCCACUUUUCUGCCUUCAGUGCCCCAGCAUGCAGCGUCUAUUUUAUAGAGCUCCAUCCACUAAUAGGGUAUUUACCGGCCAGAGUGCAAGCCAAAGUGCAAUAAAGCAUAGCUGAAGCUUUGCUGAGACUGCAUGUGAUCUGCUGAGAAGCCCAAGAAAGCCAAUUGGACAUGCAGUGCCUGCUCUGAUCUGCUCUGCAGAGCCUUCCAGCCUUAUGUCCACGACUUUGAACAUUACUCAGGACCUUGAAGUUAACCACACCUGACAUUUCCUCAGAAUCUUCCGCUCAACGUUGCAAGCAGAUCAACGUUUGAAGAUUCUCAUCUUUAAAAUUGCCAGAUCACAAAGAUUCGGACCUGUAAAGACGCUCAGCAAGCUCAAGCGGUAGACACACAGAUUCGAGGGCUGAAAAUCCUCGGCGUCAACGUGAUGCCAAAACAUUUUACAGUUUAUACGGGCAAGGAUGACUCACCAUCUGUUCACGGUGACGCAGGCCAGAUUUGCUGCCAUUUGUACAAAACACAAGCAUAAUGUCUUCUUCUAAAUCAUGUUGUGACUUGCAAAAAUAAAAUUAAAUUAAUAACUUAGCACAUAUGGGUCAACUUUGCUGAUGGAUUGCUUGAAUCAGCUGUAAUGCUUUAAAUCUCGAAUCGGUUGUACGUUUGAUCGGACUGUACGGAAGCUCAGUUCCCACAAAAAAAGAGAGAUGUACAAAUUGAAACAGCUCCGACAGGAGACCUAGCUCAAAGAGCCUAGCCCUAUUUGAACACGCACAUGCACCCGUGCAUAUAUGCACAUAUGCAAGAAUGCACAAUUGUGCGCAUGGCGCAAAACAGUGACAAAUGCCUGUUGAGGGAUUUUCACCGCUAAGCCCCCAGGAGGUGAAAUCCCUUUGACAGAUGGGAAGCUGUUUUUUCCAUAACAGCGCAUUGCUCCCUGUUUACAAGAACCUUCAGAGUGGAAGCUCACUGAUUACCGACAGGAAUGCAACAGCACAGUUCGUCCCCCAAGAGUUCCAGCUCUGUAAGGUAAAGGGCAAACAGUGGAGGAGCACACACAGAUGAAUCAUAGUUUGAUACACGCAUCAGUAGUUCUGUGAUGCACUUAGGAACUUUCAAGAAAUUACAAUAAAAUGUCAUGCACACCUAACAGUAGACAACUGAACACACCAAGAAUAUGAUAAAACCGCAUUGACUUGUUCGACACAAAGCCAAUGGCAGCACCCACUGUACGUUGAGACAAGUAAGAACAAUGCAUGUCUCCGCCACUCGCUGGAGACUUCCAGUAACAACAUAAAAUGUUUCUGGACUUGCUACUUGUCACUUAAAAACAACAACAACAACAA
Long non-coding RNA from Poecilia latipinna (sailfin molly), 1540 nucleotides. RefSeq lists it as uncharacterized. The record is from RefSeq and is a predicted model, not a curated record. The transcript is spliced from 3 exons. NCBI's taxonomy places the organism in Eukaryota, Metazoa, Chordata, Actinopteri, Cyprinodontiformes, Poeciliidae.